RNAcentral lists this ribosomal RNA (207 nucleotides) under uncultured bacterium. Its description in RNAcentral is "partial 16S ribosomal RNA". It matches the Rfam family "Bacterial small subunit ribosomal RNA", at positions 568 to 774 of the family's 1533-position model. The record is from RNAcentral.
CACGUAGGCGGAUUGGUCAGUUAGGGGUGAAAUCCCAGAGCUCAACUCUGGAACUGCCUUUAAUACUGCCAGUCUAGAGUCCGGAAGAGGUAAGUGGAACUCCUAGUGUAGAGGUGGAAUUCGUAGAUAUUAGGAAGAACACCAGUGGCGAAGGCGGCUUACUGGUCCGGUACUGACGCUGAGGUGCGAAAGCGUGGGGAGCAAACA